GGUUAAGCGACUAAGCGUACACGGUGGAUGCCCUGGCAGUCAGAGGCGAUGAAGGACGUGCUAAUCUGCGAUAAGCGCCGGUAAGGUGAUAUGAACCGUUAUAACCGGCGAUUUCCGAAUGGGGAAACCCAGUGUGAUUCGUCACACUAUCAUUACGUGAAUACAUAGCGUAAUGAAGCGAACCGGGGGAACUGAAACAUCUAAGUACCCCGAGGAAAAGAAAUCAACCGAGAUUCCCCCAGUAGCGGCGAGCGAACGGGGAGGAGCCCAGAGCCUGAAUCAGCAUGUGUGUUAGUGGAAGCGUCUGGAAAGGCGCGCGAUACAGGGUGACAGCCCCGUACACAAAAGCGCAUGUGUUGUGAGCUCGAUGAGUAGGGCGGGACACGUGGUAUCCUGUCUGAAUAUGGGGGGACCAUCCUCCAAGGCUAAAUACUCCUGACUGACCGAUAGUGAACCAGUACCGUGAGGGAAAGGCGAAAAGAACCCCGGCGAGGGGAGUGAAAAAGAACCUGAAACCGUGUACGUACAAGCAGUGGGAGCACAGGUUUACCUGUGUGACUGCGUACCUUUUGUAUAAUGGGUCAGCGACUUAUAUUCUGUAGCAAGGUUAACCGUAUAGGGGAGCCGGAGGGAAACCGAGUCUUAAUUGGGCGUUAAGUUGCAGGGUAUAGACCCGAAACCCGGUGAUCUAGCCAUGGGCAGGUUGAAGGUUGGGUAACACUAACUGGAGGACCGAACCGACUAAUGUUGAAAAAUUAGCGGAUGACCUGUGGCUGGGGGUGAAAGGCCAAUCAAACCGGGAGAUAGCUGGUUCUCCCCGAAAGCUAUUUAGGUAGCGCCUCGUGAAUUCAUCUCCGGGGGUAGAGCACUGUUUCGGCUAGGGGGUCAUCCCGACUUACCAACCCGAUGCAAACUGCGAAUACCGGAGAAUGUUAUCACGGGAGACACACGGCGGGUGCUAACGUCCGUCGUGAAGAGGGAAACAACCCAGACCGCCAGCUAAGGUCCCAAAGUCAUGGUUAAGUGGGAAACGAUGUGGGAAGGCCCAGACAGCCAGGAUGUUGGCUUAGAAGCAGCCAUCAUUUAAAGAAAGCGUAAUAGCUCACUGGUCGAGUCGGCCUGCGCGGAAGAUGUAACGGGGCUAAACCAUGCACCGAAGCUGCGGCAGCGAACGUAUCACUUAAAGCGAUUCAGCGGGUUACGAUUGACGGAGCGAAGCGACGUCAAAGCGUAUACAAAGUCGAGUCGGUUUAAGGAUACGUU
Molecule: ribosomal RNA, 1263 nt
Filed under: Salmonella enterica
Lineage: Bacteria; Pseudomonadati; Pseudomonadota; Gammaproteobacteria; Enterobacterales; Enterobacteriaceae
Description: partial 23S ribosomal RNA
Rfam family: Bacterial large subunit ribosomal RNA
Source: RNAcentral